AGAUGUCCUGUUGAUUCCGGAUGUCUCUUAAAUGGUGGAUCCCAGCGUCUUCAGUUCGGUCCCUGGAAAAAGAAAAAAGCUCACAGCAGCACAAGAUGUGAGAAGGGACCAAGUAAUGGCCAUGCUGCCCUCUGCAAUACUUGGCAAAGAGGAGACCAAACAUUGUUAAUGCAAGCUUUCCUUUUCGAUGUCUAUGCUUACCUAAAUCUUAUUUUGCUUCAAAAUAUAAAAGAAAAAAAGAUUUUCGAUGGCGCCAUUUCCACACUUUCUUUUACAGUUUGUUGUUUUGUUGUAAUUCUAUUGUUAUAAUUUAUGAC
This 317-nucleotide long non-coding RNA is filed under the name Gadus morhua (Atlantic cod). RNAcentral's name for it is "lncRNA (ENSGMOG00000026034.1)". Lineage: Eukaryota; Metazoa; Chordata; Actinopteri; Gadiformes; Gadidae. The record is from RNAcentral.